Molecule: long non-coding RNA, 589 nt
Filed under: Coturnix japonica (Japanese quail)
Lineage: Eukaryota; Metazoa; Chordata; Aves; Galliformes; Phasianidae
Description: lncRNA (ENSCJPG00005008611.1)
Source: RNAcentral
AUUUGUUUCUUCCAGUGUUUCUGCAUAACGAAUGAGUUGAAGGAUACUGUAUGAUUAGUGCCUCACUCACCUGCAAGUUAUUGCAGCUCAGCAAGUGAAGCUGUCAAUGUCAGAUGAACUUCGGCAAUUACUCAUGUAUACUGGAUGAAUUUCCAUUUUGCAGUAGAAAUGAACAAUGGACUUGCCACAGCAGUCUACCUCUGCUAACUCAAACAGCUCUCAAUGAUAAACAGAACUUCACAUCAGAACCCUGUUGCAUCUCCUGUCCUUUCCUCAUCUUCUCUGGGAGUGCCAUCACUUUACAUUACUGCCAUCAUUACCAUCCACGGUGAUGCAAUUGCUCGCUGUACAUUUCAUCCAAAGUGUUUCUGCUUGCACUGGAUUAUUCAUCUAGAGUGAAGAUAAAGGAAAGUGUUAAAUGGUUUUCUUCAAAAUGUAGAUCUUUCAUAAAAAUGUAUGAAAACCUUGAUGAUUUGCUCAUUAAAGAAACCAACAUCCUGUUAAGGAAACACUAGUAAUUGUGCACUAUUUCUGGCUAGUAAGACAAAAGCAACUGCCUUAUUCCAUACUGAGCAUAACAAAGCUCCAG